GAUGAAGAAAGUUCUCGAAGCUUGCUGUAAUCUUUGAUAAAGUGUAUGCAUGAGCUGUCUUUCCCAGGAAGUCAAGGUCAAGACAUUAAGAUUCAGCCUCACAAGACCACAUGCAGGCUGAAGAUGAAAACCAACCAGAGAAGUCCAGACAGUCAAGGGAAAAGAAAUUCAGUCUUCAAGGUCAAACGAGGCAGUCAUGCAAAGAUCAGGGAGAACAGCACUUCAGGAAAACAUGACAAAGUUAGAAGCUCUAAGAAUGAUCUUAACCUGUUUGAGAAAUACUGAAAGUCCAGUUUGGUUGGAGCCUGCAGGAUGAGAGGAUGAGAUGAAGCAAAUGGGGUAGCUGAAGAUGGUAUUUAAGGUGGUGGCAUCGGCUAUUUUGUUUUGGAGGACAGAAGUCUAAAAUCAAGGUGGUAUGUUCUGAGGUUCAUGUCCCCCCAGAAUUCACAUGUUGAAACUCUGCCAUCUAAAGCGAUGGUAUUAUUUCCUCUGGAAGCAUCCAUUUUGUGUGGUUACGUAGCCUCCAGGGGCCUUGAACUGCGUAGCCCCUCCCUAGAGCGCAUGCCUUAAAGAACAGCCUGCAGAGUCACAGCGACCAAUCCAGCCUUAGCCUGGGAACCCCAAAACAUUCUACCCUUGGACUCUAAUAAAAGCGUAUGUCCCAGAUCCUGCUGCUCAUACUCUGCCUGCACCCUGCCUUGACCUCCCUGUGUGGCUCCUCGAGAUACCUCCUCCAGGACCUUUUUUUUCCAGGAACCACAUCUAACCACACCCCUUCAAAUCAUCUACCUGCAAAGAAGGAGGGGAAACCCAGAUGUCAGCAGAACAGAGGAGCGGAAGGAUAUUGGAAGAGCAGCAGUUAUAGCAUCUCAAAGAGCGAGUGUUAUGGACAAGAGCCCCGGCGAAGGCCACUGUGCCGUGUGACACCUCCGAUGCCUCAUUUAGAGGGAUUUCAAAAGGAUUAAAUAAUUGUGAUUUUGGUCCUCUUGGUUUCUCUGAUGCUGCUGGGGCUCCCAUUUGCCUGAAGGGGCAUUCCUGUGAGUCAGCAUCCUCUCUAAUCAACAUGUUGCAGAAAAGUGUUUACACACAACAUCCAGAGAAGAGGUGGGAUGCCUACCACAGCAUGGCAUGCCUAGCGGUGCCAUGUCCGCAGCCGGGAUCUGAACUGGCGAACCCUGGGUCUCUGAGAAGUGGAACAUGCGAACUUAACCACUGCACCACCGGGACUAUAAUUGUCUGGAGCAGAAGAGAAAAGAUUGAUGUCUGGAUGAGAACAAGAGAACUGAGAAGAUUAAAUUAUUUCAGUAUGAAUCAAAUCACUCAUCUCUUUUCUGCUUAUUGGCUAGAUCACAAAGACGGUUUUACCGACUCUGACUUUUUAUGUCACUGGCCAUGUGGAAUCCUUACAUGCUGCUAGGUCCCCUGUUCUCAUAUUUCAUAGAAGUUCAAAGUAAGAUGAUAUAUCGCAAUUUGCAUUUAUCCUAGAGUUUGUAUAGGUGUUGCAUUUUAGUCUACUAUUCGGGAACAUAUGUAACACAUGGUACAAGGUUAAAAUGAGG
Long non-coding RNA from Equus caballus (horse), 1559 nucleotides. Lineage: Eukaryota; Metazoa; Chordata; Mammalia; Perissodactyla; Equidae. The record is from Ensembl.